UACGUAGGGUGCAAGCGUUAAUCGGAAUUACUGGGCGUAAAGCGUGCGCAGGCGGCUUUGCAAGACAGAUGUGAAAUCCCCCGGGCUCAACCUGGGAACUGCAUUUGUGACUGCAUGGCUGGAGUGCGGCAGAGGGGGAUGGAAUUCCGCGUGUAGCAGUGAAAUGCGUAGAUAUGCGGAGGAACACCGAUGGCGAAGGCAAUCCCCUGGGCCUGUACUGACGCUCAUGCACGAAAGCGUGGGAGCAAACAGG
RNAcentral lists this ribosomal RNA (253 nucleotides) under uncultured bacterium. Its description in RNAcentral is "partial 16S ribosomal RNA". It matches the Rfam family "Bacterial small subunit ribosomal RNA", at positions 524 to 776 of the family's 1533-position model. The record is from RNAcentral.